RNAcentral lists this long non-coding RNA (209 nucleotides) under Elaeis guineensis (African oil palm). Its description in RNAcentral is "long non-coding RNA (EGUI_LNC068793)". Lineage: Eukaryota; Viridiplantae; Streptophyta; Magnoliopsida; Arecales; Arecaceae. The record is from RNAcentral.
GCAAGGCAGACCAUAUCGCAUUGUGGGGGUUCGAGGUCGUUCAUUCAUCAUAUGGACCAGAUGGUAAGUAAUUUUUAAUUAAUAUAUUUUAACUCUUUAACUAUUUAAAAAAUUUUAAUUAAUUAUUUUUAAAUUACAGAAAGAUGCAGAGAGUGGCGAGCUUCUUGGUAGGACUGAUAUCUACCAGUGAAACCACCAGCGAUGGUCAG